Molecule: ribosomal RNA, 1873 nt
Filed under: Escherichia coli
Lineage: Bacteria; Pseudomonadati; Pseudomonadota; Gammaproteobacteria; Enterobacterales; Enterobacteriaceae
Description: partial 23S ribosomal RNA
Rfam family: Bacterial large subunit ribosomal RNA
Source: RNAcentral
GAGCCUGAAUCAGUGUGUGUGUUAGUGGAAGCGUCUGGAAAGGCGCGCGAUACAGGGUGACAGCCCCGUACACAAAAAUGCACAUACUGUGAGCUCGAUGAGUAGGGCGGGACACGUGGUAUCCUGUCUGAAUAUGGGGGGACCAUCCUCCAAGGCUAAAUACUCCUGACUGACCGAUAGUGAACCAGUACCGUGAGGGAAAGGCGAAAAGAACCCCGGCGAGGGGAGUGAAAAAGAACCUGAAACCGUGUACGUACAAGCAGUGGGAGCCUCUUUUAUGGGGUGACUGCGUACCUUUUGUAUAAUGGGUCAGCGACUUAUAUUCUGUAGCAAGGUUAACCGAAUAGGGGAGCCGAAGGGAAACCGAGUCUUAACUGGGCGUUAAGUUGCAGGGUAUAGACCCGAAACCCGGUGAUCUAGCCAUGGGCAGGUUGAAGGUUGGGUAACACUAACUGGAGGACCGAACCGACUAAUGUUGAAAAAUUAGCGGAUGACUUGUGGCUGGGGGUGAAAGGCCAAUCAAACCGGGAGAUAGCUGGUUCUCCCCGAAAGCUAUUUAGGUAGCGCCUCGUGAAUUCAUCUCCGGGGGUAGAGCACUGUUUCGGCAAGGGGGUCAUCCCGACUUACCAACCCGAUGCAAACUGCGAAUACCGGAGAAUGUUAUCACGGGAGACACACGGCGGGUGCUAACGUCCGUCGUGAAGAGGGAAACAACCCAGACCGCCAGCUAAGGUCCCAAAGUCAUGGUUAAGUGGGAAACGAUGUGGGAAGGCCCAGACAGCCAGGAUGUUGGCUUAGAAGCAGCCAUCAUUUAAAGAAAGCGUAAUAGCUCACUGGUCGAGUCGGCCUGCGCGGAAGAUGUAACGGGGCUAAACCAUGCACCGAAGCUGCGGCAGCGACGCUUAUGCGUUGUUGGGUAGGGGAGCGUUCUGUAAGCCUGUGAAGGUGUACUGUGAGGUAUGCUGGAGGUAUCAGAAGUGCGAAUGCUGACAUAAGUAACGAUAAAGCGGGUGAAAAGCCCGCUCGCCGGAAGACCAAGGGUUCCUGUCCAACGUUAAUCGGGGCAGGGUGAGUCGACCCCUAAGGCGAGGCCGAAAGGCGUAGUCGAUGGGAAACAGGUUAAUAUUCCUGUACUUGGUGUUACUGCGAAGGGGGGACGGAGAAGGCUAUGUUGGCCGGGCGACGGUUGUCCCGGUUUAAGCGUGUAGGCUGGUUUUCCAGGCAAAUCCGGAAAAUCAAGGCUGAGGCGUGAUGACGAGGCACUACGGUGCUGAAGCAACAAAUGCCCUGCUUCCAGGAAAAGCCUCUAAGCAUCAGGUAACAUCAAAUCGUACCCCAAACCGACACAGGUGGUCAGGUAGAGAAUACCAAGGCGCUUGAGAGAACUCGGGUGAAGGAACUAGGCAAAAUGGUGCCGUAACUUCGGGAGAAGGCACGCUGAUAUGUAGGUGAAGCGACUUGCUCGUGGAGCUGAAAUCAGUCGAAGAUACCAGCUGGCUGCAACUGUUUAUUAAAAACACAGCACUGUGCAAACACGAAAGUGGACGUAUACGGUGUGACGCCUGCCCGGUGCCGGAAGGUUAAUUGAUGGGGUUAGCGGUAACGCGAAGCUCUUGAUCGAAGCCCCGGUAAACGGCGGCCGUAACUAUAACGGUCCUAAGGUAGCGAAAUUCCUUGUCGGGUAAGUUCCGACCUGCACGAAUGGCGUAAUGAUGGCCAGGCUGUCUCCACCCGAGACUCAGUGAAAUUGAACUCGCUGUGAAGAUGCAGUGUACCCGCGGCAAGACGGAAAGACCCCGUGAACCUUUACUAUAGCUUGACACUGAACAUUGAGCCUUGAUGUGUAGGAUAGGUGGGAGGCUUUGAAGUGUGG